RNAcentral lists this ribosomal RNA (433 nucleotides) under uncultured bacterium. RNAcentral's name for it is "partial 16S ribosomal RNA". It matches the Rfam family "Bacterial small subunit ribosomal RNA", at positions 29 to 507 of the family's 1533-position model. The record is from RNAcentral.
AACGAACGCUGGCGGCAUGCCUAACACAUGCAAGUCGAACGAUACCUUCGGGUCUAGUGGCGCACGGGUGCGUAACGCGUGGGAACCUGCCCUUAGGUUCGGAAUAACUCCCCGAAAGGGGUGCUAAUACCGGAUAAUGUCUUCGGACCAAAGAUUUAUCGCCUUUGGAUGGGCCCGCGUUGGAUUAGCUAGUUGGUAGGGUAAAAGCCUACCAAGGCGACGAUCCAUAGCUGGUCUGAGAGGAUGAUCAGCCACACUGGGACUGAGACACGGCCCAGACUCCUACGGGAGGCAGCAGUGGGGAAUAUUGGACAAUGGGCGAAAGCCUGAUCCAGCAAUGCCGCGUGAGUGAUGAAGGCCUUAGGGUUGUAAAGAUCUUUUACCCGGGAUGAUAAUGACAGUACCGGGAGAAUAAGCUCCGGCUAACUCCGUG